RNAcentral lists this ribosomal RNA (216 nucleotides) under Glomeromycotina sp. RNAcentral's name for it is "partial small subunit ribosomal RNA". The stretch from base 40 to 216 matches the Rfam family "Eukaryotic small subunit ribosomal RNA", at positions 686 to 864 of the family's 1831-position model. Lineage: Eukaryota; Fungi; Glomeromycota. The record is from RNAcentral.
GGGUCAGUAGGUUGGUCGUGCCACCGGUACGUACUGGUCUCACUGAUUCCUCCUUCCUGAAGAACCGUAAUGCCAUUAAUUUGGUGUUGCGGGGAAACAGGACAGUUACUUUGAAAAAAUUAGAGUGUAUAAAGCAAGCUAACGCUUGAAUACAUUAGCAUGGAAUAAUGAAAUAGGACGAUCGAUCCUAUUUUGUUGGUUUCUAGGAUUGACGUA